GACGAACGCUGGCGGCGUGCCUAAUACAUGCAAGUCGAACGCACUCUCGUUUAGAUUGAAGGAGCUUGCUCCUGAUUGAAUAAACAUUUGAAUGAGUGGCGGACGGGUGAGUAACACGUGGGUAACCUGCCCUAAAGUGGGGGAUAACAUUUGGAAACAGAUGCUAAUACCGCAUAAAACCUAACACCGCAUGGUGUAGGGUUGAAAGAUGGUUUCGGCUAUCACUUUAGGAUGGACCCGCGGUGCAUUAGUUAGUUGGUGAGGUAAAGGCUCACCAAGACCGUGAUGCAUAGCCGACCUGAGAGGGUAAUCGGCCACACUGGGACUGAGACACGGCCCAGACUCCUACGGGAGGCAGCAGUAGGGAAUCUUCCACAAUGGAACGAAAGUCUGAUGGAGCAACGCCGCGU
RNAcentral lists this ribosomal RNA (410 nucleotides) under uncultured bacterium. RNAcentral's name for it is "bacterial SSU rRNA". It matches the Rfam family "Bacterial small subunit ribosomal RNA", at positions 28 to 402 of the family's 1533-position model. The record is from RNAcentral.